RNA transcript from Papaver somniferum (opium poppy), 1471 nucleotides. RefSeq lists it as uncharacterized. Lineage: Eukaryota; Viridiplantae; Streptophyta; Magnoliopsida; Ranunculales; Papaveraceae. The transcript has 3 exons. The record is from RefSeq and is a predicted model, not a curated record.
UUAGUUUUUUUGCAUUUUUAAAUUUCAAUAUUUUCCCUUCUAGAAACCCCAACAUUUACAUAACAACAAUACUCACUACUCUAUUAGCAAGAUUAACCACAAAUGUUGUAUCCGGUGGGAGAAAAAACUGAUAACAGAUAUUGAGAAAAAACGGGUGCAUCGCUAUUCUUUCGUCAUUAAUGGUCGAAUGAAUUAGUUGGAAAUUAUUGUCCAGUAGGAAUUGGAUCUUUUCUUCUUCGUUACUAACCUGGUUUAUUAAAGUCGGUGCUUGUGGAGAUUGGGUCAGCAAAGAUAUGUAAAAUCCUCUAUCUAAGUUUUCUCUGCUUUAUGUUAUUACUUAACGUCUAUGUGUCCAUUGGCAAUUUUUAUGUCAUUGUUCUAGUUCGUCUUGGAACUUGGACAGUAGAUUGCAGUUAUAACCUGCCUUCUAAUUUUAGAUGAUAAGGGGAAUAAUGUGCUGAAUGGAUCUUCCAAGUACUCUAUCACAAUGGUGGUGUUUAUGCAUAAGCUUCUUUAUAUUUUGUUCUGUUCAUUCUAGACCUGUUUGCAAAUGCAAGUAGUUAUUACGUCAGGGAUUUUGUUUUUUAGUUAGCUUAUGAACUUCCCUUCACUUGUGCACUCUUUAAUUUUUAAUUUUUUUUCUUACAAUUUUUCCAUAGUAUAGGGGAUUCUUGUAACCCCUGAAAAAUGAAAGCAGAGUUAUUGAUUGCUUCUUAUAUGGAUGGAAUGAACAUGUGGAAUGCUAAGUAGAAUUAAUAUACUAAUGUUGGAUAAAAUAGCUAAUAUAAGCUUAUUGAUCAUGAUCCAGUAGUUAAGUAACACUUGGUAAUGGCUUUCCUUGUUUCCAAUAAAUUGCAGUUGUACCGGUCUGUUGGUUUGUCUUAUGCUCGCUGGAGCUUGGUUGGGUUAUUGGGUGGUACCUAAACAUGUUCUAACACAAGAAGGAUCCAGUGAUUCAAGUACAGCUGUUUUCGUCGCUUGGUCAAUUCGCAGCUGUCAUGAUUAUUCAGCUAUAACAUUAAAUAGUUGGCAUCUAAUGGUUACAAUAAGCACACUUCAUGUGGCACGAAGAUUCAAUGUUUUUGAGACCAAGGCAAUUGAUACCGAAACUGUAAUGCUUUGGUAUCCUAAAUGGCGUGUCUACUGGCCUUCUCAAUUUAUGUCUUGGGUUCAGUUCCACUGGAUUCUACCAGGUUAACUAUUUUGAUUUUAUCUUAUGAUCAUUUGAAUAUAGGAUCUGAUUACUUUAGUUUGGUUGUAGUCGUGAAAGCUUAAUCCAGAUGAAAUGAUUUUUCUGUGAAGAUGAUGAAACUUGCAGUAAUACCCUUACUGUAUUGUCGGAGACCCUGUUCCUUAACAAGGUGAGUUUAUCUGUUGUUCAAGUUUGUAUAAGCAAUUGUAUUUGUUUUGUCAAUGUAUUACUUAAACUCUGUCUCAGCCAUGGACUAUCAAAGUUCAUACUUUUGUAAUC